GUUCACCAUGAGGUAGCUGAAAUGAGAUAUUGGAUGUGAGGAGGGAAGCUGAUAGGUUCCAAGACAAGGCCUCUGUCUUCAUGAGGGCAGAAUGGAGCCUGAACCCUGUCUCAGGGGGUGCUGCCUGGCCAGUGGCAUUUAACCUCUCCGUCCCUCACCUGCUCACAGCUCUUCAGGUAGAACACCUACCCCCCCACAGAGCUGGUUGAGAAGUCAGUG
Long non-coding RNA from Lontra canadensis (Northern American river otter), 219 nucleotides. RefSeq lists it as uncharacterized. The record is from RefSeq and is a predicted model, not a curated record. NCBI's taxonomy places the organism in Eukaryota, Metazoa, Chordata, Mammalia, Carnivora, Mustelidae. The transcript has 2 exons.